GACGAACGCUGGCGGCGUGCUUAACACAUGCAAGUCGAACGGUAAGGCCCCAGCUUGCUGGGGUACACGAGUGGCGAACGGGUGAGUAACACGUGGGUGACCUGCCCCGCACUUCGGGAUAAGCCUGGGAAACUGGGUCUAAUACCGGAUAGGACCGCACCGUGAGGGUGGGGUGGAAAGUUUUUCGGUGUGGGAUGGGCCCGCGGCCUAUCAGCUUGUUGGUGGGGUAAUGGCCUACCAAGGCGGCGACGGGUAGCCGGCCUGAGAGGGUGGACGGCCACAUUGGGACUGAGACACGGCCCAGACUCCUACGGGAGGCAGCAGUGGGGAAUAUUGCACAAUGGGCGGAAGCCUGAUGCAGCGACGCCGCGUGGGGGAUGACGGCCUUCGGGUUGUAAACUCCUUUCACCAUCGACGAAGGUUUUCUGACGGUAGAUGGAGAAGAAGCACCGGCUAACUACGUG
RNAcentral lists this ribosomal RNA (464 nucleotides) under uncultured bacterium. RNAcentral describes it as "partial 16S ribosomal RNA". It matches the Rfam family "Bacterial small subunit ribosomal RNA", at positions 28 to 507 of the family's 1533-position model. The record is from RNAcentral.